UUAUUAGUAUAAGUAUGUCCCAUGCAACAUGGGGGACAUACUUAUACUAAAA
RNAcentral lists this microRNA precursor (52 nucleotides) under Equus caballus (horse). Its description in RNAcentral is "mir-1302 microRNA precursor family". It matches the Rfam family "mir-1302 microRNA precursor family". The record is from Rfam by way of RNAcentral. Lineage: Eukaryota; Metazoa; Chordata; Mammalia; Perissodactyla; Equidae.